Molecule: ribosomal RNA, 497 nt
Filed under: uncultured bacterium
Lineage: Bacteria
Description: partial 16S ribosomal RNA
Rfam family: Bacterial small subunit ribosomal RNA
Source: RNAcentral
GAUGAACGCUGGCGGCGUGCCUAAUACAUGCCAGUCGAGCGAACAGAUGAGGAGCUUGCUCCUCUGACGUUAGCGGCGGACGGGUGAGUAACACGUGGAUAACCUACCUAUAAGACUGGGAUAACUUCGGGAAACCGGAGCUAAUACCGGAUAAUAUAUUGAACCGCAUGGUUCAAUAGUGAAAGACGGUUUUGCUGUCACUUAUAGAUGGAUCCGCGCCGCAUUAGCUAGUUGGUAAGGUAACGGCUUACCAAGGCAACGAUGCGUAGCCGACCUGAGAGGGUGAUCGGCCACACUGGAACUGAGACACGGUCCAGACUCCUACGGGAGGCAGCAGUAGGGAAUCUUCCGCAAUGGGCGAAAGCCUGACGGAGCAACGCCGCGUGAGUGAUGAAGGUCUUCGGAUCGUAAAACUCUGUUAUUAGGGAAGAACAAAUGUGUAAGUAACUAUGCACGUCUUGACGGUACCCAAUCAGAAAGCCACGGCUAACUUCGUG